This 327-nucleotide ribosomal RNA is filed under the name uncultured eukaryote. RNAcentral's name for it is "partial 18S ribosomal RNA". It matches the Rfam family "Eukaryotic small subunit ribosomal RNA", at positions 1470 to 1796 of the family's 1831-position model. The record is from RNAcentral.
CCCUUAGAUGUUCUGGGCCGCACGCGCGCUACACUGACGAAUGCAACGAGCUUAUAACCUUGGCCGAAAGGUCUGGGUAAUCUCCAAAUUUCGUCGUGAUGGGGAUAGAUUAUUGCAAUUAUUAAUCUUCAACGAGGAAUGCCUAGUAAGCGCAAGUCAUCAGCUUGCGUUGAUUACGUCCCUGCCCUUUGUACACACCGCCCGUCGCUCCUACCGAUUGGAUGGUCCGGUGAAGCGUUCGGACCGUGGCCUUUGGACGGUUCGCCGUCUGUUGGCUGCGGGAAGUUCGUUAAACCUUAUCAUUUAGAGGAAGGAGAAGUCGUAACA